Hyla sarda is the source of this 654-nucleotide long non-coding RNA. RefSeq lists it as uncharacterized. The record is from RefSeq and is a predicted model, not a curated record. Lineage: Eukaryota; Metazoa; Chordata; Amphibia; Anura; Hylidae. The transcript is spliced from 5 exons.
GGCGAGUUGUACCGUGACAGAAAUGAGCUCGGUGCUGUGGUACAGUCCUCACCGGAGAGUCCGAACGUUACCGCUAACAUAGAACGUGACUGAAUUUUACAGCUGCUGGUUUUCUGUCACAGUUACGUCAGAAACUAUGAAUGCCACUGCUAACCCCAGGGUGCAGGCACCAACAGUAAAAAGACUAAAGGAGGCAGAGCACAUAUCUGACAAGUCACACUGAGCAAGAGCUUGGCUGUCAGCAUGCACAUCAGCGUUCAGAGACUACAAGGCUUCCUGCAUCACAUUUAAAGAUUGGAUUCACCUGAAAGCCAAAAAGAUGACUCUGUAGCCAAAAGGCUACUACUUCCAAAGUAAUCCUUAACAGUACAGAUAUUAUAUAAAAAACUGUGUACACUGGCUUCUGGAGAAUAUCUUCUUGAUCAAUACUUUUACAGGCUGCAUAGAGAUGGAAAACUGCUCCUGGAACUAACACGGCCCCAAUCAAUUUACUCUCUCAGGACAAAAAAGCAAAACAAAGCAUAGUACAUGUGGUCAGCUCUGUGAUGCCCAACAAACUCUGUCAGCAGAAACCUCAAACCAAUUAUAAGCUGUAAGCCUACAAAAGCAGAAGUUUAAGUAAUCCUCUGCAUUAUAUCAGCAAUUCUUAGACAG